AUGAGAGGAGGAGGAGGAGGAGGGGAGGACACGCGGAGGACGGCGGCCGGGCAGGCCAUGGUGGAGCUGCAGGCCAACGGCGCGACCGCGACGUCGGCCAGCGGGGCGAUGGUGGUGGGGCUGAGCCCGCUGAGCGAGACGCUGUGGCGGGACAGCAAGGCGAUGCCCGGAGCGGGCGCGGCGGUGCUCAUCGGCGAGGUGUCGGCGAGGCUGACGUGGAAGGACCUGUCGGUCACCGUGGCGCUGGGCCCCGGCAAGACGCAGACCGUGCUGGACGAGCUCACCGGCUUCGCCGAGCCCGGGUCGCUGACGGCGCUCAUGGGCCCGUCCGGCUCCGGCAAGUCCACGCUCCUCGACGCCCUCGCCGGCCGCCUCGCCGCCAACGCCUUCCUCUCCGGCAGCGUGCUGCUCAACGGCCGCAAGGCCAAGCUCUCCUUCGGCGCCGCGGCGUACGUGACGCAGGACGACAACCUGAUCGGGACGCUGACGGUGCGGGAGACGAUCGGCUACUCGGCGCUGCUGCGGCUGCCGGACAAGAUGCCGCGCGACGACAAGCGCGCGCUGGUGGAGGGCACCAUCGUGGAGAUGGGGCUCCAGGACUGCGCCGACACCGUCAUCGGCAACUGGCACCUCCGGGGCGUCAGCGGCGGCGAGAAGCGCCGGGUCAGCAUCGCCCUGGAGCUCCUCAUGCGGCCCCGCCUCCUCUUCCUCGACGAGCCCACCAGCGGCCUCGACAGCUCCUCGGCCUUCUUCGUGACGCAGACGCUGCGGGGCCUGGCGAGGGACGGCAGGACAGUGAUUGCGUCCAUCCACCAGCCCAGCAGCGAGGUCUUCGAGCUCUUCGACAUGCUCUUCCUGCUCUCCGGGGGCAAAAACGUCUACUUCGGACAGGCAGCGCAAGCAUGUGAGUUCUUCGCUGAAGUUGGUUUCCCAUGCCCGCCUUUGAGAAAUCCCUCGGAUCAUUUCCUGAGGUGCGUCAACUCCGACUUCGACAAGGUCAAGGCCACCCUGAAAGGAUCAAUGAAAGCAAGGAUCGAAAGGUCUGAUGAUCCUCUAGACAAGAUAACCACAUCAGAGGCCAUCAGGAAACUGGUCUCUGCCUACAACAGGUCGCAGUACUACUAUGCUGCCAGGGAGAAAGUUAAUGACAUUGCACGAAUCAAAGGAACAGUGAUGGAUUCAAGGGGCAGCCAGGCCAGCUUCUUGAUGCAGGCGUGUACACUUACCAGGCGUUCAUUCAUCAACAUGUCGCGCGACUUUGGGUACUACUGGCUCAGGCUCUUGAUCUAUCUCCUCGUGACCGUCUGCAUCGGCACAAUCUACCUGGAUGUCGGCACCAAAUACACAUCCAUCCUGGCCAGGGCAGCAUGUGCAGCAUUCGUCUUUGGAUUCGUCACCUUCAUGUCCAUUGGAGGAUUCCCUUCAUUCGUGGAAGAAAUGAAGGUUUUCCAGCGGGAACGGUUGAAUGGGCACUACGGUGUUGCAGCAUUUGUCAUUGCCAACACCAUCUCUGCUCUGCCAUUCCUGGUCCUGAUAUGCUUCAUGUCAGGGACAGUAUGCUACUUCAUGGUGCGCCUUCAUCCCGGUUUCACACACUACAUCUUCUUUGUCUUGAACCUCUACGCCAGUGUCACCGUGGUUGAGAGUUUGAUGAUGGCCAUUGCAAGUGUCAUACCCAAUUUCCUCAUGGGCAUCAUCAUAGGAGCUGGAAUUCAGGGAAUAUUCAUGCUUGUCUCCGGAUACUUCAGACUUCCAUAUGACAUCCCGAAGGUUUUCUGGAGAUACCCCAUGCAGUACAUCAGCUUCCAUUACUGGGCACUACAGGGCCAAUGCCAGAAUGACAUGGACGGUCUCCUAUUCGACAACCAAUACCCGGACCAGCCGAAGAUCCCUGGGGAGUUCAUCCUGAAGUACAUCUUCCAGAUCAAUGUGCACCGGUCGAAGUGGAUCGACCUGUCGGUCAUCUUCAGCAUGAUCUUCAUCUACCGCCUGCUGUUCUUCAUCAUGAUCAAGGUGAACGAGGACGUGAUGCCCUGGAUCCGGGGCUACAUCGCGAGGAAAAGGCUUCAGAAGAAGGUGCCUGCCAUCGGCAAGACGCCUUCCCUGAGAGGCUAUGUUGUGGAUCCGGAGCUUGGUCCUAACGAAGGCUAG
Molecule: ribosomal RNA, 2151 nt
Filed under: Triticum aestivum (bread wheat)
Lineage: Eukaryota; Viridiplantae; Streptophyta; Magnoliopsida; Poales; Poaceae
Description: partial small subunit ribosomal RNA
Source: RNAcentral